Molecule: ribosomal RNA, 447 nt
Filed under: uncultured bacterium
Lineage: Bacteria
Description: partial 16S ribosomal RNA
Rfam family: Bacterial small subunit ribosomal RNA
Source: RNAcentral
AACGAACGCUGGCGGCAGGCCUAAAACAUGCAAGUCGAACGAACCUUCGGGUUAGCGGCGCACGGGUGCGUAACGCGUGGGAAUGUGCCUCUGGGUGCGGAACAACGUCGGGAAACUGACGCUAAUACCGCAUAAUAUCUACGGAUCAAAGAUUUAUCGCCCAGAGAUCAGCCCGCGUCUGAUUAGGUAGUUGGUAGGGUAAUGGCCUACCAAGCCUACGAUCAGUAGCUGGUCUGAGAGGAUGAUCAGCCACACUGGAACUGAGACACGGUCCAGACUCCUACGGGAGGCAGCAGUUAGGAAUAUUGGACAAUGGGGGAAACCCUGAUCCAGCCAUGCCGCGUGUGUGGAGAAGGCCUUAGGGUUGUAAAGCACUUUCGUCUAUGAAGAUAAUGACAGUAGUAGAAGAAGAAGCUCCGGCUAAAUUCGUGCCAGCCGCCGCGGUAA